This 1389-nucleotide ribosomal RNA is filed under the name Edwardsiella tarda. RNAcentral describes it as "16S ribosomal RNA". It matches the Rfam family "Bacterial small subunit ribosomal RNA". The record is from RNAcentral. Lineage: Bacteria; Pseudomonadati; Pseudomonadota; Gammaproteobacteria; Enterobacterales; Hafniaceae.
GACGAGCGGCGGACGGGUGAGUAAUGUCUGGGGAUCUGCCUGAUGGAGGGGGAUAACUACUGGAAACGGUAGCUAAUACCGCAUAACGUCGCAAGACCAAAGUGGGGGACCUUCGGGCCUCAUGCUAUCAGAUGAACCCAGAUGGGAUUAGCUAGUAGGUGUGGUAAUGGCUCACCUAGGCGACGAUCCCUAGCUGGUCUGAGAGGAUGACCAGCCACACUGGAACUGAGACACGGUCCAGACUCCUACGGGAGGCAGCAGUGGGGAAUAUUGCACAAUGGGCGCAAGCCUGAUGCAGCCAUGCCGCGUGUAUGAAGAAGGCCUUCGGGUUGUAAAGUACUUUCAGUAGGGAGGAAGGUGUGAACGUUAAUAGCGCUCACAAUUGACGUUACCUACAGAAGAAGCACCGGCUAACUCCGUGCCAGCAGCCGCGGUAAUACGGAGGGUGCAAGCGUUAAUCGGAAUUACUGGGCGUAAAGCGCACGCAGGCGGUUUGUUAAGUUGGAUGUGAAAUCCCCGGGCUUAACCUGGGAACUGCAUCCAAGACUGGCAAGCUAGAGUCUCGUAGAGGGAGGUAGAAUUCCAGGUGUAGCGGUGAAAUGCGUAGAGAUCUGGAGGAAUACCGGUGGCGAAGCGGCCUCCUGGACGAGACUGACGCUCAGUGCGAAAGCGUGGGGAGCAAACAGGAUUAGAUACCCUGUAGUCCACGCUGUAACGAUGUCGAUUUGGAGUUGUGCCCUUGAGGCGUGGCUUCCGAAGCUAACGCGUUAAAUCGACCGCCUGGGGAGUACGGCCGCAAGGUUAAAACUCAAAUGAAUUGACGGGGGCCCGCACAAGCGGUGGAGCAUGUGGUUUAAUUCGAUGCAACGCGAAGAACCUUACCUACUCUUGACAUCCAGCGAAUCCUGUAGAGAUACGGGAGUGCCUUCGGGAACGCUGAGACAGGUGCUGCAUGGCUGUCGUCAGCUCGUGUUGUGAAAUGUUGGGUUAAGUCCCGCAACGAGCGCAACCCUUAUCCUUUGUUGCCAGCGGUUCGGCCGGGAACUCAAAGGAGACUGCCAGUGAUAAACUGGAGGAAGGUGGGGAUGACGUCAAGUCAUCAUGGCCCUUACGAGUAGGGCUACACACGUGCUACAAUGGCGUAUACAAAGAGAAGCGAACUCGCGAGAGCAAGCGGACCUCAUAAAGUACGUCGUAGUCCGGAUUGGAGUCUGCAACUCGACUCCAUGAAGUCGGAAUCGCUAGUAAUCGUGGAUCAGAAUGCCACGGUGAAUACGUUCCCGGGCCUUGUACACACCGCCCGUCACACCAUGGGAGUGGGUUGCAAAAGAAGUAGGUAGCUUAACCUUCGGGAGGGCGCUUACCACUUUGUGAUUCAUGACUGGGGUG